GUGCCAGCAGCCGCGGUAAUACGGAAGGUCCAGGCGUUAUCCGGAUUUAUUGGGUUUAAAGGGAGCGUAGGCUGUUUGUUAAGCGUGUUGUGAAAUGUAAGAGCUCAACUUUUAGAUUGCAGCGCGAACUGGCAGACUUGAGUGCGCACAACGUAGGCGGAAUUCAUGGUGUAGCGGUGAAAUGCUUAGAUAUCAUGACGAACUCCGAUUGCGAAGGCAGCUUACGGGAGCGCAACUGACGCUAAAGCUCGAAGGUGCGGGUAUCGAACAGGAUUAGAUACCCUGGUAGUCCGCACAGUAAACGAUGGAUGCCCGCUGUUAGCACCUAGUGUUAGCGGCUAAGCGAAAGCAUUAAGCAUCCCACCUGGGGAGUACGCCGGCAACGGUGAAACUCAAAGGAAUUGACGG
This 408-nucleotide ribosomal RNA is filed under the name uncultured organism. RNAcentral describes it as "SSU rRNA". It matches the Rfam family "Bacterial small subunit ribosomal RNA", at positions 505 to 916 of the family's 1533-position model. The record is from RNAcentral.